This 223-nucleotide unclassified non-coding RNA is filed under the name plant metagenome. RNAcentral's name for it is "partial contains small subunit ribosomal RNA, internal transcribed spacer 1, and 5.8S ribosomal RNA". The record is from RNAcentral.
UUUCCGUAGGUGAACCUGCGGAAGGAUCAUUAAUGAGAACGUGCCCUUCGGGGUAGAUCUCCCACCCUGUGUUUACACUACCUUUGUUGCUUUGGCAGACCCGCCCUCGGGCCGCCGGCUCCGGCUGGCCAGCGUCUGCCAGAGGACCCAAAACUCUUGUUAUUCAUGCCGUCUGAGUACUAUAUAAUAGUUAAAACUUUCAACAACGGAUCUCUUGGUUCUG